CGAACCCUGAUCCAGCCAUGCCGCGUGAGUGAAGAAGGCCUUCGGGUUGUAAAGCUCUUUCGGCCGGAAGAAAUCGCAUGGGUGAAUACCCUGUGUGGAUGACGGUACCGGAACAAGAAGCACCGGCUAACUACGUGCCAGCAGCCGCGGUAAUACGUAGGGUGCGAGCGUUAAUCGGAAUUACUGGGCGUAAAGCGUCCGCAGGCGGACCAGCAGGUCGGUCGUGAAAGCCCGAGGCUCAACCUCGGAACUGCGAUCGAAACCAUUGGUCUUGAGUCCGGGAGAGGGGGGUGGAAUUCCUGGUGUAGAGGUGAAAUUCGUAGAUAUCAGGAGGAACACCGGUGGCGAAAGCGGCCCCCUGGCCCGAAACUGACGCUCAUGGACGAAAGCGUGGGGAGCAAACAGGAUUAGAUACCCUGGUAGUCCACGCCGUAAACGAUGGAUGCUAGCUGAUGGGACUUCUACCGUCUCGUUGGCGUCGCUAACGCAUUGAGCAUCCCGCCUGGGAAGUACGGCCGCAAGGCUAAAACUCAAAGGAAUUGACGGGGG
Molecule: ribosomal RNA, 549 nt
Filed under: uncultured bacterium
Lineage: Bacteria
Description: bacterial SSU rRNA
Rfam family: Bacterial small subunit ribosomal RNA
Source: RNAcentral